UUCGGAAUAACAGUUGGAAACGACUGCUAAUACCGGAUGAUGACGUAAGUCCAAAGAUUUAUCGCCGAGGGAUGAGCCCGCGUAGGAUUAGCUAGUUGGUGUGGUAAAGGCGCACCAAGGCGACGAUCCUUAGCUGGUCUGAGAGGAUGAUCAGCCACACUGGGACUGAGACACGGCCCAG
This 181-nucleotide ribosomal RNA is filed under the name uncultured Sphingomonadales bacterium. RNAcentral's name for it is "partial 16S ribosomal RNA". It matches the Rfam family "Bacterial small subunit ribosomal RNA", at positions 137 to 334 of the family's 1533-position model. The record is from RNAcentral. Lineage: Bacteria; Pseudomonadati; Pseudomonadota; Alphaproteobacteria; Sphingomonadales.